Long non-coding RNA from Fopius arisanus, 884 nucleotides. RefSeq lists it as uncharacterized. The record is from RefSeq and is a predicted model, not a curated record. The transcript has 2 exons. NCBI's taxonomy places the organism in Eukaryota, Metazoa, Arthropoda, Insecta, Hymenoptera, Braconidae.
CUAACCCGAUAGAAUCCAGAGGGUAUCAAUAGACAUUCUUUGGCCCUGACUCAUUCCAUUCUGAUAACAUUUCUUGGCCUGAGAUGAAAAAAAUUUAUUUAUCACAAGUUCGUAGUAUUCCAUAAGCUCCAUGCAUACGUCAAUUUCAUUUCACGUCGCUAUACGUGGAAAAAUUAGGCAAUUUCAUCAAACUGACAAAAUUAUUGAAAAACCAUUUUUUAAUAUAAUAUACACCCAAAAAUAUAAAGCUCCCAUAUUUAUAUUUACACUUAUCGCAAUUUAAAAACUCAACUUUCAACGACUGCAAAGGUGCCGUUUAGAAGGAAAAACAAUUAAAAUAGUAUUACUUUCAGAGUAUACAAUUAUAUAAAUACUCUCGUGCUGCUAAACACAAAAUGAGGGAAUUAUUAUGCAAGAAAAAAUGAUAGAGCAUUUGGCUCAAACGCCACAAGGCAGGGUAGUAGAGAUUCAUCGUUCAAGUGCCAAGGUUCUGAAAUUACUCAGCACCCUUAUCUCCGUUAUCUCUUAUGGAUUAUUCAUGUCUUUAAAGUGGAUAAUUCCAGACUCAUGAAAUUGUUAUGUGCUCUGUCUGAAAAGGCAAUAUUUUGACAAAUCUACAAAGAAUUUGGAACACGCAGAUGAAACUAACCAUAAGAAUUUGAUAUUAUAUCGCAAGUCUCGUUCUCGGUGAUACUAAUUGUACCCAUGCUUGUCAUGCCUUGAAUCACAACGUUUAAUGAAGGACUGAAGAUUCAAAGAUUUCGUGACACCCGGCGGCUUUUAUUUCACAAAACCCAAACCCGAGAUAUUUUACUUACCGCCAAACGCUUUUUGUCACUAGUCACUAUCUGUAUUUAUUUAAUAAAAUUCCUACUUAUAAAAAA